This 490-nucleotide ribosomal RNA is filed under the name uncultured bacterium. Its description in RNAcentral is "partial 16S ribosomal RNA". It matches the Rfam family "Bacterial small subunit ribosomal RNA", at positions 30 to 507 of the family's 1533-position model. The record is from RNAcentral.
AUUGAACGCUGGCGGCAGGCCUAACACAUGCAAGUCGAAUGGUAACAGGAAACCGCUUGCUGUUUCGCUGACGAGUGGCGGACGGGUGAGUAAUGUCUGGGAAACUGCCUGAUGGAGGGGGAUAACUACUGGAAACGGUAGCUAAUACCGCAUAACGUCGCAAGACCAAAGAGGGGGACCUUCGGGCCUCUUGCCAUCAGCUUUGCCCAGACGGGAUUAGCUAGUAGGUGGGGUAACGGCUCACCUAGGCGACGAUCCCUAGCUGGUCUGAGAGGAUGACCAGCCACACUGGAACUGAGACACGGUCCAGACUCCUACGGGAGGCAGCAGUGGGGAAUAUUGCACAAUGGGCGCAAGCCUGAUGCAGCCAUGCCGCGUGUAUGAAGAAGGCCUUCGGGUUGUAAAGUACUUUCAGCGGGGAGGAAGGGAGUAAAGUUAAUACCUUUGCUCAUUGACGUUACCCGCAGAAGAAGCACCGGCUAACUCCGUG